This 334-nucleotide ribosomal RNA is filed under the name uncultured Pseudomonas sp. RNAcentral's name for it is "bacterial SSU rRNA". It matches the Rfam family "Bacterial small subunit ribosomal RNA", at positions 1047 to 1382 of the family's 1533-position model. The record is from RNAcentral. Lineage: Bacteria; Pseudomonadati; Pseudomonadota; Gammaproteobacteria; Pseudomonadales; Pseudomonadaceae.
GGCUGUCGUCAGCUCGUGCUGUGAAGUGUUGGUUAAGUCCCGCAACGAGCGCAACCCCUGCCAUCUGUUGCCAGCAAGUGAAGUUGGGACUCAGGUGGAACUGCCGGUGACAAACCGGAGGAAGGUGGGGACGACGUCAAGUCAUCAUGGCCCUUACGGCCUGGGCUACACACGUGCUACAAUGGUCGGUACAAAGGGUUGCCAAGCCGCGAGGUGGAGCUAAUCCCAUAAAACCGAUCGUAGUCCGGAUCGCAGUCUGCAACUCGACUGCGUGAAGUCGGAAUCGCUAGUAAUCGUGAAUCAGAAUGUCACGGUGAAUACGUUCCCGGGCCUU